Molecule: ribosomal RNA, 253 nt
Filed under: uncultured bacterium
Lineage: Bacteria
Description: partial 16S ribosomal RNA
Rfam family: Bacterial small subunit ribosomal RNA
Source: RNAcentral
UACAGAGGGGGCAAGCGUUGUUCGGAAUUACUGGGCGUAAAGGGCGCGUAGGCGGCCCGCUAAGUCGAACGUGAAAUCCCCGGGCUCAACCCGGGAACUGCGUCCGAGACUGGCAGGCUCGAAUCCGGGAGAGGGAUGUGGAAUUCCAGGUGUAGCGGUGAAAUGCGUAGAUAUUGGGAGGAACACCAGUGGCGAAGGCGGCUCACUGGACCGGUACUGACGCUGAGGCGCGAAAGCGUGGGGAGCAAACAGG